Molecule: ribosomal RNA, 432 nt
Filed under: Triticum aestivum (bread wheat)
Lineage: Eukaryota; Viridiplantae; Streptophyta; Magnoliopsida; Poales; Poaceae
Description: partial small subunit ribosomal RNA
Source: RNAcentral
AUGGACAAGAAGGCUGCUGGCACCGGCGAGGAUCCCUUCUGCGUCCUCCCCGACGACCUACUCGACCACAUCCUGUCCUUCCUGCCGGGGGACGAUGCCCUGCAGACCUGCAUGCUCAACACCCAGUGGCGCGGCCUCUGGAGGCGCAAGACCAGCCUGCGCUUCAUCUUUGACGAAUGGUCAGGUUUCAGCUGCGAGCGUUUCAGUCAGCUGGCGAAGCUCAUCAUCCACCUCAGGGGGAAGUCGCCUCUGACCUACUGCAAGAUCAAUCCUUGCAUUGACGAGGACUUUGUUGAUUUCACACAAACCAAGCUGCUCAUCAAGUACGCUCUAAGGUGCCAAGUUGAAAAGCUCUCGGUUUGCGAUGAUCAUUUCGGUGACCAAUGGUUACUGCUCGACGGACGUCUCUUCUCCAGGCAGCUGAGACCAUGA